This is a long non-coding RNA of Camponotus floridanus (Florida carpenter ant), 755 nucleotides long. RefSeq lists it as uncharacterized. The transcript is spliced from 2 exons. The record is from RefSeq and is a predicted model, not a curated record. Lineage: Eukaryota; Metazoa; Arthropoda; Insecta; Hymenoptera; Formicidae.
CCUAUAAAAUGAACUUUUCUAUUGGAUGUCGUAUAUUGGACAACGACAGUAUGAAUUAUAUAAGUACAUAUGCAGUUUGAUAUUACAGGUCGGCCAGUAUUAUCACUAUUUCGUUUGAAGACGUCCAGCUCCUUUGACUACGUUGCGAUGCAUUUGCAAUGAAUUGGACAACUCACACUGGAUCAACCAAUAAAAAGAUUCCCUGGUGAAUUGGCGACGUGCACAAUUGACAUUAGCCUAUUUGAAGAUGCGCUCAACUCCGUUAAUUGCUUCGUUUUGAGGGGAAGCCCCUUUUGGCAUUAACUAUAAUUUUUUUCCAGGAAAUCCCCUACAACCUCCCACAAGAAGAGGGUAUAAAUAUCGCGACGGACACAUAUCGCGUUAGAAACCCGCUGCAAUUCUGCUGCAAAUAGAACGACCUUAGUAGACUGUCGACUAUAAUUUACUAAAGUCUUUGUGUAACUUUGUGACUUUAUCCAGCAAGCAAGUUAUUUGCUUAUAAAAUGGACCCAAAUCAAGCCAACCGCACUAACCAGUGCAAUCCAACUCAUACUCCAACUGGGCCUGGACAUCAGGCAGGCUAUAAAGGGUCAGCAACAAAAGCUGAUCUUGAUAAUCAUAGCAACCAACUGAAUCCAAAUCAUCCACAAUAUAAAAAGUAAAAGCAUAUAUAUUUCACAGAAUAUCGAUGGCAUUGUAUUUUACAAGUAAUGUACAUGCUCAAAUUAUGAUAUAAAUGAAUAUGUAAUCAGAAA